ACUUUUUUAAUAUAAUAAGUAUAUUCAAUUUCCACUUGAAAAGUUUAAAUUUUAAAAAAAGUA
Molecule: transfer RNA, 63 nt
Filed under: Ammothea calmani
Lineage: Eukaryota; Metazoa; Arthropoda; Pycnogonida; Pantopoda; Ammotheidae
Also listed under: 1 other name
Description: tRNA-Gly
Source: RNAcentral